Molecule: ribosomal RNA, 253 nt
Filed under: uncultured bacterium
Lineage: Bacteria
Description: partial 16S ribosomal RNA
Rfam family: Bacterial small subunit ribosomal RNA
Source: RNAcentral
UACGGAGGGGGCUAGCGUUGUUCGGAAUUACUGGGCGUAAAGCGCGCGUAGGCGGACCUGCAAGUCGGGGGUGAAAGCCCGAGGCUCAACCUCGGAACUGCCUUCGAUACUGCGGGUCUCGAGUCCGGGAGAGGUGAGUGGAAUUCCGCGUGUAGCAGUGAAAUGCGUAGAUAUGCGGAGGAACACCGAUGGCGAAGGCAAGCCCCUGGGCCUGCACUGACGCUCAUGCACGAAAGCGUGGGGAGCAAACAGG